GCGACACUAGCACAGCUGGUAGAGCGCAACCUUGCCAAGGUUGAGGUCACGAGUUCGAGCCUCGUGUGUCGCUCCA
This 76-nucleotide transfer RNA is filed under the name Aliivibrio sp. RNAcentral's name for it is "tRNA-Gly". It matches the Rfam family "tRNA". From Rfam's summary of the family: Transfer RNA (tRNA) molecules are approximately 80 nucleotides in length. Their secondary structure includes four short double-helical elements and three loops (D, anti-codon, and T loops). Lineage: Bacteria; Pseudomonadati; Pseudomonadota; Gammaproteobacteria; Vibrionales; Vibrionaceae. The record is from RNAcentral.